GCCAGGUGCGGUGGCACACACCUGUAAUCCCUGCAUCUCAGGAGUCUGAGGCAGGAGGAUUGUGAGCUCAAAGCCAGUCUCAGCAAUUUAACGAGGCUCUAAGCAACUCAGUGAGACCCUGUCUCUA
Molecule: small RNA, 127 nt
Filed under: Marmota monax (woodchuck)
Lineage: Eukaryota; Metazoa; Chordata; Mammalia; Rodentia; Sciuridae
Source: RNAcentral